This 2296-nucleotide ribosomal RNA is filed under the name human gut metagenome. RNAcentral's name for it is "eukaryotic LSU rRNA". It matches the Rfam family "Eukaryotic large subunit ribosomal RNA", at positions 775 to 3357 of the family's 3401-position model. The record is from RNAcentral.
UUUUUUAACAUGGCUAUAGAGUAUUUAAGUCAAAACCCGAAUGGAGGUGAACUAUUCCUGCAAAGAUUGAAGUCAGGGGAAACUCUGAUGGAAGAUCGUUGGCGUUAUUGAUGUGCAAAUCAUUUGCUUUAUGUAGGUAUAGGUGCGAAAGACUCAUCGAACCUCCUAAUAGCUGGUUUCCUCCGAAGUUUCCCUCAGGAUAGCUGUAACAUUUUUAAAUAGUUAAGGAUAGUAGAGAAAUGGGUAGAGGUGUAGUGGAACUACGGUUCUGCAACUUAUUUCCAAACUUCGAACGUUCUUGAUAUAAAAAAUUACCUAAUAGGAAUUUUUUAUUUAAAUAUAUGUUAUAAGUGGGCUCUGACCGGUAAGCGGUCAUGGCGAAAAGGGAUGAACCUAACGUAUAAAUAAGGUGCCUAAAUUUACUAACAAUGAAACCAUUAAAAGAGUCCAUGUAUUUAGACAGCGGGUCGGUGCCCCUAAAAGCAGGUAUCCGUUAAUGAGUGUGUUAAAACUCCCCCGCCGAAUACUCUGGCCUUGAAAAUGAAUGGCGCAUAUAGUAAUACCGAUAUUAUACAUUAAAAUUAUUUAAAAAUUUUAAAAGUAGGGGGAUGUGGAUAUCUUAGAGAAUUUUUAAUUGUAAAAUUGAAUUGAAAGAUAUCUAUUACAGAUCCUAAUUGAAGUAGCGAUUAUCCAGGUUAAUCUCCUGGGGGCUGAUGAGGAGUAGGGUUUCUGGGCAACUUAAACGGACCCAGAGUUAGUCGAUCCUAAUCAAAUUAAAUUUAGAGAAAGGGAAUAUGAAUGAUAUUUCAUAACUAAAAUUAAUUUUUAAAUGGUGACAUUUUUUUAAACUUAUUUCCAUCAAUUAAAUACUGUUUAAUAGGGAUUUCUUUCCUAUAUAACUUUUUAAUUAAAACUUAAGAAACAGGUUAACUGGAGAAUAAAGUUUUAAUUUAGUAAAAUUAUAAUUUCGAUUAUAAUAACGGCUAUUUAAAUGAUCCAUGAAACAAUAAGUUUAUUUUUUCAAAAAUUAAUUUAAUCGUACCGAUAACCGCAUCAGGUCUCCAAGGUGAGUAGCUUCUGGCCAUUGAGUAAUGGUAAUUUAGGGAAUUCGGCCAAUUAGAGCUGUAACUUCGGGAUAAAGCUUGGCUCUGAUGGAAAUCAGAACCGAUAGUUACAAGGAGAGCCCAACUGUUUAAUAAAAACUUAGUGUCGCGUCAUACCUUUAUAAGUAAUAAACGUGACAUGAAUCCUGCUCAGUGCUGUGUUUGUUAAACUGGAUUAAUCCAUUUAAGCGCCGGUAAAUAGCUGGGGUAACUAUGACUCUUAUCAAAGUAGCGAAAUACCUCGUCACUUAAUUAGUGACCUGCAUGAACGGAGCUAUGAGGUUCUCACUGUCCCAAAUUAUCACUCAGCGAACCAACAGUUGUGGGAACGGGCACAAAUUAUCCAGCGGGGAAAGAAGACCCUGUAGAGCUUCACUUUGGUCUAAUCUUGUAUAGUUUCGUUAGGGGUGCAGUCUAGGUGGGAGAUUUUUAAUCAAAUAUGAGAAACCACUACCCUUUCUGGAAUUAUACUUACUAAAAUUCUUUUCUAAAUUUUAGGAUCGGAUUAGAUAGAAAGUUUGGCUGGGGCGGCACACCUUCGAAAAAGCAGCGAAGGUGUCCUAAGUUAAGCUCAGUAAGGACAGAAAUCUUACGUUGAGGAUAAGGCCAAAAGCUUAAUUUACUGUGCCUUUUUGUACUAGGAUCAGUUUGGAAACAAAGGCCUAACGAUCCCUAAUUAGUCUUAGGUGUGUAAGACUUGGGGUGACAGACAAGUUACCUCCGGGACAACUGGCUUGUGGCUGCUAAGAGAUCAAAUCAACGCAGCUUUUUGAUUCUUCGAUGUCGGCUCUUCCUAUCCUAGUGAUGUACAAGUCACUAAGGGUUGGAUUGUUCACCCGUAUUAGGGAUCGUGAGCUGGGUUUAGACCGUCGUGAGCCAGGUUUGUUUUAUCCUACUGGAUAUAAUUUAGCAUCUUGAUAGUAGUUUGAUUUAGUACGAGAGGAACUGUUGAAUAUGGUCUCUGGUUUGGGAAUUUUAUGAAAAUAAAAGUUCCAAAGCUACGCCGUCUGAGAUAAUGGCUGAAGGCCUCUUAAGCCAGAAACUCAUCUAAAAAUAGAUGCUUUAAACUAUUUAAAAGAAUUAAAUUUAAAAUAUUUUUUUUAUUAAAAUUUGUUAAUAAUUCUUUAGUUUAAAUGACCAAAUGUAGAAGACGUUUUGUCAACAAGGGUCCUGUAAGUGUGAGAGUGGCAUUU